RNAcentral lists this non-coding RNA (97 nucleotides) under Pseudofrankia inefficax. RNAcentral's name for it is "Frankia inefficax Glycine sequence". It matches the Rfam family "Glycine riboswitch aptamer". Rfam says of the family: This family represents the bacterial glycine riboswitch. Glycine riboswitches usually consist of two metabolite-binding aptamers domains with similar structures in tandem. The record is from Rfam by way of RNAcentral. Lineage: Bacteria; Bacillati; Actinomycetota; Actinomycetes; Frankiales; Frankiaceae.
UCACACCCGCGCGGGAGAGUCCCGGGCAAACCAGCCUGUGGCGCCGAAGGAGCAAGACCUCCCCACAAACUCUCAGGCACCCAACCGCCGGGUCAGG